Molecule: long non-coding RNA, 481 nt
Organism: Fopius arisanus
Lineage: Eukaryota; Metazoa; Arthropoda; Insecta; Hymenoptera; Braconidae
Exons: 3
Source: RefSeq, a predicted model, not a curated record
CCGCGCGCGUCUUAUUCUACUGACUGAAUACCCGGCUGCGGGGUUCGGGAUUCUAUCUACUAAUUCAGAUUCCAAGUAGUACAACCCCCAUAUCUAUGCGGCGUAUGUGCGACUUAUUGCUUUUUUUGCUUAUUGGAAAUAUAUCUCGUUAUGGAGUAAUUGUGAUCACAUAUAUUCAGCAUAUUGAUCGGCACGUUUACACAGUGGCAUGAUUGUUGUGGCAAGUGGCGGAUGUGACAAAAAAGAAAAGCACGGAAUUACGGAGCAAUAUUCAUUUGGUGUAAGUGACAACGGUCAGUUACACGUGACCCUUGAGGGACAACGCUGCUGUUACGUCCGCUUUUUGAGGGUGGACAUCCCAUUGAGUGAUGGCGACGUAACUACCCUUUACUCAAAUGCUGAUGACGUGCUCAAAGACACCGAACAAGACAUGAGAAACGUGAUCUCCCUUGUGAUACUUCUAGGUAAACCCAGUGUGAAC